This 64-nucleotide transfer RNA is filed under the name Gigantidas vrijenhoeki. RNAcentral's name for it is "tRNA-Leu". Lineage: Eukaryota; Metazoa; Mollusca; Bivalvia; Mytilida; Modiolidae. The record is from RNAcentral.
GUCAGGGAAGCAAUGAGGCGCGAUAAGUUUAAAGCUUAUAAAUGAAGUUUUAUUUCCCCUGUCU